RNAcentral lists this ribosomal RNA (649 nucleotides) under uncultured marine eukaryote. RNAcentral's name for it is "SSU rRNA". It matches the Rfam family "Eukaryotic small subunit ribosomal RNA", at positions 616 to 1266 of the family's 1831-position model. The record is from RNAcentral.
CGGUUAAAAAGCUCGUAGUUGGAUCUCGGCAAGUAGAGGGCGGUAUGCUUCGUAGCAUUACUGCCCUAUUACUUGUAGUUUUGCCAGAGGUUCCUGGGUGCUCUUAAUCGAGUGUCUAGGGAUGCUGGCAGGUUUACUUUGAAAAAAUUAGAGUGCUCAAAGCAGGCUAUUACGCUUGAAUAUUCGUGCAUGGAAUAAUAGAAUAGGAAGUUGUUUCUAUUUUGUUGGUUUUCGGAAAUCGACUUAAUGAUUAAUAGGGACAGUCGGGGGCAUUUGUAUUCAAACGACAGAGGUGAAAUUCUUGGACCGUUUGAAGACAAACUACUGCGAAAGCAUUUGCCAAGAAUGUUUUCAUUAAUCAAGAACGAAAGUUAGAGGUUCGAAGGCGAUUAGAUACCGCCCUAGUUCUAACCAUAAACGAUGACAGCUAGCGAUCUGAGGACGUUUUUUUUGUAGACUCCUCAGGAAGCUUCCGGGAAACCAAAGCGUGUGGGUUCCGGGGGAAGUAUGGUUGCAAAGCUGAAACUUAAAGGAAUUGACGGAAGGGCACCACCAGGAGUGGAGCCUGCGGCUUAAUUUGACUCAACACGGGAAAUCUCACCAGGCCCGGACACUGGAAGGAUUGACAGAUUGAGAGCUCUUUCUCGAU